RNAcentral lists this non-coding RNA (33 nucleotides) under Companilactobacillus ginsenosidimutans. RNAcentral's name for it is "L31-Firmicutes ribosomal protein leader". It matches the Rfam family "L31-Firmicutes ribosomal protein leader". The record is from RNAcentral. Lineage: Bacteria; Bacillati; Bacillota; Bacilli; Lactobacillales; Lactobacillaceae.
CUCUAUCUCCGUAAAGGACUUAGGGCAAAGGAG